This 468-nucleotide ribosomal RNA is filed under the name uncultured bacterium. RNAcentral's name for it is "partial 16S ribosomal RNA". It matches the Rfam family "Bacterial small subunit ribosomal RNA", at positions 28 to 507 of the family's 1533-position model. The record is from RNAcentral.
GACGAACGCUGGCGGCGUGCUUAACACAUGCAAGUCGAACGGAAAGGCCCUGCUUUUGUGGGGUGCUCGAGUGGCGAACGGGUGAGUAACACGUGAGUAACCUGCCCUUGACUUUGGGAUAACUUCAGGAAACUGGGGCUAAUACCGGAUAGGAGCUCCUGCUGCAUGGUGGGGGUUGGAAAGUUUCGGCGGUUGGGGAUGGACUCGCGGCUUAUCAGCUUGUUGGUGGGGUAGUGGCUUACCAAGGCUUUGACGGGUAGCCGGCCUGAGAGGGUGACCAGCCACAUUAGGAUUGAGAUACGGCCCAGACUCCUACGGGAGGCAGCAGUGGGGAAUAUUGCACAAUGGGCGGAAGCCUGAUGCAGCGACGCCGCGUGCGGGAAGACGGCCUUCGGGUUGUAAACCGCUUUCACCUGUGACGAAGCGUGAGUGACGGUAAUGGGUAAAGAAGCACCGGCUAACUACGUG